Molecule: RNA transcript, 1286 nt
Organism: Xenia sp. Carnegie-2017
Lineage: Eukaryota; Metazoa; Cnidaria; Anthozoa; Malacalcyonacea; Xeniidae
Exons: 7
Source: RefSeq, a predicted model, not a curated record
GUUCGAUGUUGUGUUGUCACUUUGACGUUAUACACAUAAGGAUGAACAAUGGAAACUCUUUCUCGAGGGCUCCAUGUUUGAGGAUCAUUUUAAUGAACUCGAGAAGAUUUGUGAAGAGGCUUAUGGUGGCCACUGUGAGCUCUUUGAUAAUGAGUUUCUGAGGCCUAUUUGCUAGUUACUUCUGGAACUAAGGACGUCAGCCAAGGAGAUGCAACCAGGUAGCGUUCGCAUUGCCUACAUCCUCGAACGAAAAGAUUCACAUCUUUUGAUGUUCAGCUGUGAUAAACUAAAAGAAAAACUUAAAUUUCAAUUCAAAUUGAUGUCGUCUUUUGAUGAUGUGCUAUCUUCCAUUUCAAUGAAUCAAAUUCCCACGACCUUCGGCGGAAGCUUUGAGUACGAUCAUGAUGCUUGGCUGCAGUUUUGAUUUGUGUCCUGCAGUAUAGAUCUAUUUGUGUAAAACCAUCAACAGGUUUUGACCACUGGUACGACAGCUUGAUAGCAAUAACGAUAAUCAUAAGAAAUAAGCAGUUGGCCUGAUGGAAAAUACUGUCUUCCAAUGUCCAGCAGCGGGCAAUGUCCUGCAGGAUGGAGGUCUGGUUAUCGAUUUCACGACAUGGAAGAUCACAAAGGUGGCCAAAACUAUAGCAAGAAGAUUUAUGGUUGGGUGCCGAGAAAUUCCUAUUUGCACCGUAAUCUCCAAUGGGGCUUCUGCUGCAAGGGUGACUGCAGUCAGAAUACCUACGUUCACCAGAACAACACGUGGCCUGCAGGAUCGUAUUGCAUCUUCAGAUGCGGAGGUACGUGUCCAAGGAAUUUUCAACAAGAAACAAGAACCCUUCAUGACGGGUUGUCGUUGUGCAAGUAAGCUGGCUUUGACGGCAAUAGAUGAACUUGGAAUAGGAAAAUUUGGUGAAACGGUAAAAGAAUGUCAGAGAUUGCUCGAAGAACACGAUAAAAAAGUGAGCGCCAUCUUUUCAGACAGACGCCUCUCUGCGUUACAAGUCAAAGGUGAACAACUUGUGUCGGACAUGCAGCAGACAGAUAACUUGAAGAAAACACAAGACUGGAAAUAUACCAUGGAAAUUGUCUCGAAAUUAUAUUUCAAAAUGAAUCAAAUUUUCUCCAAGCUAGAAGUUUUGUAUAGAAAACGAAAACGGGAGCUCGAGGAUUGUCUACAGUUGAAAUGCUUUCAAGAGGAAUACGCUAAGGUAUGAAAUUAUUAAGAUGUUUGCCCAGUUUACUGGAAGACAGGGGCGGAUCUAGAUUAUGUCAAAUCCGUCGCGCGA